Trachemys scripta elegans is the source of this 316-nucleotide long non-coding RNA. RefSeq lists it as uncharacterized. Lineage: Eukaryota; Metazoa; Chordata; Testudines; Emydidae. The transcript has 3 exons. The record is from RefSeq and is a predicted model, not a curated record.
GUUCGCCCCUUGUGUCACACCCUCAUCCGCUGCUGGAGGGGGGAGUCGGAGAAAGAGCCACCCUGAAAAAACUUGUCAUUCCAGAAACAGAAGACCAGUCUGGAGAGAAUGGAGGGACUGUGCAUCCCCCAAGGAUGUGACCAAACCCAGGGAUGUGAUAUCAGACUAUGGGGAUUGCAUUCAGGAGUUGGCACUUUCAAGAGUACAGAAAAGAAUUAAAGGAAAGGAUUAAGUAUCUUCAAGAGGCAAACUGAAGACUCAUUCUUUUAAAGUUGGAGGUCAUCUGCAGUUUGUGGGGAAAACAAGUAAGGGGCUG